RNAcentral lists this ribosomal RNA (169 nucleotides) under Dipteryx odorata (tonka bean). Its description in RNAcentral is "5.8S ribosomal RNA". It matches the Rfam family "5.8S ribosomal RNA". From Rfam's summary of the family: 5.8S ribosomal RNA (5.8S rRNA) is a component of the large subunit of the eukaryotic ribosome. It is transcribed by RNA polymerase I as part of the 45S precursor that also contains 18S and 28S rRNA. The record is from RNAcentral. Lineage: Eukaryota; Viridiplantae; Streptophyta; Magnoliopsida; Fabales; Fabaceae. RNAcentral also lists the same sequence under 1 other name.
UCACAGAACGACUCUCGGCAACGGAUAUCUCGGCUCUCGCAUCGAUGAAGAACGUAGCGAAAUGCGAUACUUGGUGUGAAUUGCAGAAUCCCGCGAACCAUCGAGUCUUUGAACGCAAGUUGCGCCCGAAGCCAACAGGCCGAGGGCACGUCUGCCUGGGCGUCACGCA